Molecule: long non-coding RNA, 502 nt
Filed under: Amphibalanus amphitrite
Lineage: Eukaryota; Metazoa; Arthropoda; Thecostraca; Balanomorpha; Balanidae
Description: uncharacterized LOC122385705
Source: RNAcentral
UUCGGCUUAUUUCCUCACCAGGUGGCAGCACUGCCUUCUUUGGACACAGAAACUGUGGCGGCGAAUGCGCCACUGUGUUUUGCACUGUGUGGAGUCCGUGCGGUGUCGGUUCGGGGACUGAAUUUCGGUGAAUUUGAUAGCAAUUGAUUUGAAUUUUGCUCAGAUGGGUUGUGAAUUUAUAUUCAGCAAGUGUCACAAACAUGGAAAGGCAAGUUUACAAAGGACAGGAGACUUAGAAAGGCUUCAAUUGACGUAGCCGAAGAGAGGCGAGAAGCCGAAGAUAGACCGACUCCAAACGGUGCCCAGUGCAAUAAUGUUUCUGGUGCGGAGUUGUCAGGAUGGAGUCCGAGGAAUCAAGGAAGGCAGAGGACCUGCGUAUGAAGGAACCAGCCCUGCGGAUGAAGUUCUGAGGUGCAUACAGAGGAAUCCCACUGAAAGACCAGGUGCAAUGCUGCAUUGAUAAGAUCCAGAUUCAAGAGCAUGGAUGCUACCAGAUCCAGUG